RNAcentral lists this ribosomal RNA (465 nucleotides) under Vreelandella stevensii. RNAcentral describes it as "partial 16S ribosomal RNA". It matches the Rfam family "Bacterial small subunit ribosomal RNA", at positions 338 to 795 of the family's 1533-position model. Lineage: Bacteria; Pseudomonadati; Pseudomonadota; Gammaproteobacteria; Oceanospirillales; Halomonadaceae. The record is from RNAcentral.
CCUACGGGAGGCUGCAGUGGGGAAUAUUGGACAAUGGGCGAAAGCCUGAUCCAGCCAUGCCGCGUGUGUGAAGAAGGCCUUCGGGUUGUAAAGCACUUUCAGUGGGGAAGAAAGCCUUGGGGCUAAUACCCUCUAGGAAGGACAUCACCCACAGAAGAAGCACCGGCUAACUCCGUGCCAGCAGCCGCGGUAAUACGGAGGGUGCGAGCGUUAAUCGGAAUUACUGGGCGUAAAGCGCGCGUAGGCGGUCUGAUAAGCCGGUUGUGAAAGCCCCGGGCUCAACCUGGGAACGGCAUCCGGAACUGUCAGGCUAGAGUGCAGGAGAGGAAGGUAGAAUUCCCGGUGUAGCGGUGAAAUGCGUAGAGAUCGGGAGGAAUACCAGUGGCGAAGGCGGCCUUCUGGACUGACACUGACGCUGAGGUGCAAAAGCGUGGGUAGAAAACAGGAUUAGAUACCCUAGUAGUC